UACGAAGGGGGCUAGCGUUGUUCGGAAUUACUGGGCGUAAAGCGUGCGCAGGCGGCUUCUCAAGUCAGGGGUGAAAGCCCAGAGCUCAACUCUGGAAUUGCCUUUGAGACUGAGUGGCUUGAGUACGGGAGAGGUGAGUGGAAUUCCCAGUGUAGAGGUGAAAUUCGUAGAUAUUGGGAAGAACACCGGUGGCGAAGGCGGCUCACUGGCUCAUUACUGACGCUCAUGCGCGACAGCGUGGGGAUCAAACAGG
RNAcentral lists this ribosomal RNA (253 nucleotides) under uncultured bacterium. Its description in RNAcentral is "partial 16S ribosomal RNA". It matches the Rfam family "Bacterial small subunit ribosomal RNA", at positions 524 to 776 of the family's 1533-position model. The record is from RNAcentral.